This 354-nucleotide unclassified non-coding RNA is filed under the name soil metagenome. Its description in RNAcentral is "partial contains 5.8S ribosomal RNA, internal transcribed spacer 2, and large subunit ribosomal RNA". The stretch from base 1 to 120 matches the Rfam family "5.8S ribosomal RNA", at positions 35 to 154 of the family's 154-position model. The record is from RNAcentral.
GAUGAAGAACGUAGCGAAAUGCGAUAAGUAAUGUGAAUUGCAGAAUUCAGUGAAUCAUCGAAUCUUUGAACGCACAUUGCGCCCGCCAGUAUUCUGGCGGGCAUGCCUGUUCGAGCGUCAUUUCAACCCUCAGGCCCCCAGUGCCUGGUGUUGGGGAUCGGCGGAAGCCCCCUGCGGGCACAACGCCGUCCCCCAAAUACAGUGGCGGUCCCGCCGCAGCUUCCAUUGCGUAGUAGCUAACACCUUGCAACUGGAGAGCGGCGCGGCCACGCCGUAAAACACCCAACUUCUGAAUGUUGACCUCGAAUCAGGUAGGAAUACCCGCUGAACUUAAGCAUAUCAAUAAGCGGAGGA